This 465-nucleotide ribosomal RNA is filed under the name Vreelandella stevensii. Its description in RNAcentral is "partial 16S ribosomal RNA". It matches the Rfam family "Bacterial small subunit ribosomal RNA", at positions 338 to 795 of the family's 1533-position model. Lineage: Bacteria; Pseudomonadati; Pseudomonadota; Gammaproteobacteria; Oceanospirillales; Halomonadaceae. The record is from RNAcentral.
CCUACGGGAGGCAGCAGUGGGGAAUAUUGGACAAUGGGCGAAAGCCUGAUCCAGCCAUGCCGCGUGUGUGAAGAAGGCCUUCGGGUUGUAAAGCACUUUCAGUGGGGAAGAAAGCCUUGGGGCUAAUACCCUCGAGGAAGGACAUCACCCACAGAAGAAGCACCGGCUAACUCCGUGCCAGCAGCCGCGGUAAUACGGAGGGUGCGAGCGUUAAUCGGAAUUACUGGGCGUAAAGCGCGCGUAGGCGGUCUGAUAAGCCGGUUGUGAAAGCCCCGGGCUCAACCUGGGAACGGCAUCCGGAACUAUCAGGCUAGAGUGCAGGAGAGGAAGGUAGAAUUCCCGGUGUAGCGGUGAAAUGCGUAGAGAUCGGGAGGAAUACCAGUGGCGAAGGCGGCCUUCUGGACUGACACUGACGCUGAGGUGCGAAAGCGUGGGUAGCAAACAGGAUUAGAUACCCGUGUAGUC